Molecule: ribosomal RNA, 931 nt
Filed under: Microsporomycetaceae sp.
Lineage: Eukaryota; Fungi; Basidiomycota; Cystobasidiomycetes; Cystobasidiales; Microsporomycetaceae
Description: partial large subunit ribosomal RNA
Rfam family: Eukaryotic large subunit ribosomal RNA
Source: RNAcentral
CGGCGAGUGAAGUGGGAAAAGCUCNNCUUUGAAAUCUGGCAGCUUCNCUGUCCGAGUUGUNUCUCNAGAAGUGUUUUCCGUGUUGAAGCAUGUAUGAGUCUGUUGGAACACAGCGUCAUAGAGGGUGACAACCCCGUUCAUGCCAUGCCUUUCAAUACUCUGUGAUACACUUUCGAUGAGUCGAGUUGUUUGGGAAUGCAGCUCAAAGUGGGUGGUAAAUUCCAUCUAAAGCUAAAUAUUGGCGGGAGACCGAUAGCAAACAAGUACCGUGAGGGAAAGAUGAAAAGCACUUUGGAAAGAGAGUUAAAAGUACGUGAAAUUGUCGAAAGGGAAACGCUUGAAGUCGGACGUGCAGGCAACUGCAGGCCAACAUCGGUUUCAGUAGUCGGAUAAAGGCAGAGAAAGGUAGCAGCUCAGGCUGUGUUAUAGUCUCUAGCUCAAUACGAAUAUGGAGACCGAGGACCGCAGCGAAAGCUUAGGAUGUUGGUGGAACGGCUUUAAACGACCCGUCUUGAAACACGGACCAAGGAGUCUAACAUGCUUGCGAGUGUUUGGGUGUCAAACCCAUGCGCGUAAUGAAAGUGAAUGGAGGUGGGAUCCGCAAGGAGCACCAUCGACCGGUCCGGAUGUUUACUGAAGGAUCUGAGUAAGAGCACGUAUGUUGGGACCCGAAAGAUGGUGAACUAUGCCUGAAUAGGGUGAAGCCAGAGGAAACUCUGGUGGAGGCUCGUAGCGGUUCUGACGUGCAAUCGAUCGUCAAUUUGGGUAUAGGGGCGAAGACUAAUCGAACNAUCUAGUAGCUGGUUCCUGCCGAGUUUCCUCAGGAUAGCAGAANCUCGUCUCAGUUUUAUGAGGUAAGCGAUGAUAGAGGCNUUGGGCUGUAACAGCCUUACCUAUCUCAACUUUAAUGUGUAAGAAUCUUGUUCUUAUU